This 291-nucleotide long non-coding RNA is filed under the name Homo sapiens (human). Its description in RNAcentral is "HSALNT0047786". Lineage: Eukaryota; Metazoa; Chordata; Mammalia; Primates; Hominidae. The record is from RNAcentral.
CUUCCACCAAUUCCCUCCCACUAUACGUGGAGAUUAUUACAAUUCAAGGUUUUAGGAUAUAGUACCACUUUGAGAAGCCAAAGGAAGCAAUGGAUAAGGAGUUGUAAUCGUUGCCUCCAGUAGUGGGAGAAGAGAAAGAGCCGGGUCACUUGGAUGUGUGGACAGUUGCUGAGAAGAGCAGAAGAAAAGAAAAAAGACAGGCAACAUACACAAAAUGAACCGCUUUUUUGCUUGAAUCAAAUCCUAUUGAUUAAUCCCUUUACAUUGUUUACUAAAAAUGCAAUACAACUU